Non-coding RNA from Callorhinus ursinus (northern fur seal), 2361 nucleotides. Lineage: Eukaryota; Metazoa; Chordata; Mammalia; Carnivora; Otariidae. The record is from RefSeq and is a predicted model, not a curated record.
UCUUUUCUUUUGUUUAUAGGAUCUCUAAACGCACAGAAUUUGGUGCCUUCAGGAAACCACAGUGCUAACCCAACAGAGAAUGUCACCGCUGUGACCUCCAACCAUACGAGCCAUCCCACCAGCACUGUGAGACAGCCGACGAACCCACAGUCUUCCACAUCUAAGACCGAGACAGUCACGGCCUUGAUGUCCACGGCAACAGCUAAAAUCACAACACCCACGGGCUCCGCAAACAGGACUAACAGCAGCUCAGUUUCACAGAACGCAACCCAGACGAUGCCGUCCACAGUGAGCACCACCGCCCGCAACAGCUCGGCCACGUCUGCUUCUUCAUCCGUAACGAUCACACCAACUAUUAAUUCUAAAGGAAAUCCAGGAUCAAAAUUUGACAUUGGCAGCUUUCUUGGCGGUAUCGUGUUAACACUGGGGGUUCUGUCGAUUCUUUACAUCGGAUGCAGAACGUACUAUUCGAGAAGAGGCAUUCGGUACAGAACCAUUGAUGAACAUGAUGCCAUCAUUUAAGGAAACCCAAGGACCCAUGGAAAGAAGAUUGAUAACAACCCUAUCAAUUAACUUUAGUUAUUCUUGAAUACACAGGCCAUGCAUAUAAUGUACUAUAGAAACAUGUAGAUUCCUCACUGUUACUAAAGGUAAAAAGGGUUUGGUUUGGGUUCUUUAAAUGAGUAUUUGAAGCAUAUAGUUAAUGUUAAAAAACACCUAUUAAGACAAGUCCGCCCCUUCUGUGUGGCACUGGUCACACGGGGGAGUAACUGGAAGGCCUCCUCCCUGAAGGGCGCAGUGCCCUCUGAGCCCACAGAUACGGGCCUUGGGACGGUCACACAGCUUGUACAGCUGAGUACUGGGUUCAGAAACAAAAGGCACUGCCUUCAGGUCCUGCUAGAGAGCCUGGGUUCUUGUUACAACCUCUUUUGAGCUUUCAAUGGCAAUUCAGCUAAGUAUUUUUGCGUCUGUAAUUUCAGUAAACUGCAAUGUUGAACAAAGUUUUAAAGAUGGAGUUAGGUUUUUUGCUACUGCGAGACUACUGGAAAUUGCUUUAUUUCAUAUGCAACAGUUAAUUUUAUGUUUAGGGAAUAUUUUUAAGAGGUGUAGAGCUUCUUUCAGUAGCUAGGAUCCUGUAUGAUGCAGUGUCAGCCUACCUACCUUACGCCCCCUUCUGCAAUUUCCAGACAACCUGUAGGGCUCGGUCCCUCAGCCCAGGGAGGACGGCCUCCACCUGCAGGAGGCCAAUGCUGCAUUUUUAUACUAAAGAAAUCUUUGUAUUGGGAUUAAAUUCUUAAGUUUUUAAAACAAACUUUCAGGCCCCUUGUGUCCCGUGGAGGGGACUCGGCUGUCUUACGGUAACAGCACGGUGUUCAAGGGACACCCGUGUCCAUCAACAUCGGUCUGAGGGUUUGGCUUAUAGUUGAUACUACAGCAGCCAAAACUCAGGGUCAAGUUUGGCAAAAAAAAAAAAAAGUAUUUAGUCCUACUAAAUGACCAGCCAAUAUAGAAAUACUAUAUUAGAUGUCCUAAUGACACUGCUCUGCAUUGAAUAGGACUUAAGUGUAACCUGUGAUCAGCUUUUCAUUUUCAGAGAAUGCCAAGAAUUUUUAUAUAAAAGUAUCAUUUCUACUCACUGUGCACUAGGGCCCACUGAGGUGAAGAGCGGGUGACAGGGCAGGUCUGAGGCGCACGGUGGGCCCCCAGUUUACAGAGAGGUGGGCUGCUUAGUAACCUACAAUGCACCUGCCUGGUCUCGAACUGCUUUUAUGUCUUUGCAAAAUACACUUAUGCUACAAGUAUAUGCUUCUGUCUUACGAUGGGGGCCUUUAAACUGAACUUCUUCCAUCUCUUGCUGGCUUUACUCCCGUCAGAACCUUGAAGCCAGGCCUGUUUCUGCAGCACGUGGAAGAAAUGUCUUUAAACCCCUUUCCAGCUGCCUAUGCUUUGGGUCUAAAAACUGCCUUCUCUGUCUGGAAGCUGGAUCUUCGUUCCUUCCCGCCCCCGCACAGAAACGCGGAAGUGGGGGCACGAACCACUGCUCCCCCAGGGCGCACAUUUCCUAAGCCUGUAAUUCAUGUCCUAAUUAUGUUUACUUCAGCAGAUACUCGCUUCUGUUUGCGUUCCUUGAGAAUGUAUUUACUUGAAGAGCUCUUAGAAUCCAGUCUAGGACUUUAGAUGAUCCAAAACAUGAGGAUUUCCCAUACAGAUAAAUGAGUGGGCAAUAUAUUAAGAAUUUUGUAUUUUUCAGGAGAAACACUUUUAAAGCAAAUUCCUUUUUUUUAUUAUAAUGACCAGCUUUUGGUAUUCCAUUGUUACUGAGAUCUAUUUUUAGAAUAAAAUUUUGUUCUCCAUCUAAGA